RNAcentral lists this ribosomal RNA (467 nucleotides) under uncultured bacterium. Its description in RNAcentral is "bacterial SSU rRNA". It matches the Rfam family "Bacterial small subunit ribosomal RNA", at positions 29 to 518 of the family's 1533-position model. The record is from RNAcentral.
AUGAACGCUGGCGGCGUGCCUAACACAUGCAAGUCGAGCGAUCUCUCGGAGAAGAGCGGCGGACGGGUGAGUAACGCGUGGGUAACCUGCCUCAUACACAUGGGAUAACAUACCGAAAGGUAUGCUAAUACAGGAUAAUAUAAGAGAUUCACAUGGAUUUCUUAUCAAAGCUCCGGCGGUAUGAGAUGGACCCGCGUCUGAUUAGGCUAGUUGGUAAGGUAAUGGCUUACCAAGGCGACGAUCGAGUAGCCGACCUGACGAGGGUGAUCGGCCACAUUGGAACUGAGACACGGUCCAAACUCCUACGGGAGGCAGCAGUGGGGAAUAUUGCACAAUGGGCGAAAGCCUGAUGCCAGCAACGCCGCGUGAGUGAUGAAGGCCUUCGGGGUCGUAAAAACUCUGUCCUCAAGGAAGAUAAUGACGGUACUUGAGGAGGAAGCCCCGGCUAACUACGUGCCAGCCGCAGC